Molecule: ribosomal RNA, 905 nt
Filed under: Escherichia coli
Lineage: Bacteria; Pseudomonadati; Pseudomonadota; Gammaproteobacteria; Enterobacterales; Enterobacteriaceae
Description: partial 23S ribosomal RNA
Rfam family: Bacterial large subunit ribosomal RNA
Source: RNAcentral
AGCCCAGAGCCUGAAUCAGUGUGUGUGUUAGUGGAAGCGUCUGGAAAGGCGCGCGAUACAGGGUGACAGCCCCGUACACAAAAAUGCACAUGCUGUGAGCUCGAUGAGUAGGGCGGGACACGUGGUAUCCUGUCUGAAUAUGGGGGGACCAUCCUCCAAGGCUAAAUACUCCUGACUGACCGAUAGUGAACCAGUACCGUGAGGGAAAGGCGAAAAGAACCCCGGCGAGGGGAGUGAAAAAGAACCUGAAACCGUGUACGUACAAGCAGUGGGAGCCUCUUUAUGGGGUGACUGCGUACCUUUUGUAUAAUGGGUCAGCGACUUAUAUUCUGUAGCAAGGUUAACCGAAUAGGGGAGCCGAAGGGAAACCGAGUCUUAACUGGGCGUUAAGUUGCAGGGUAUAGACCCGAAACCCGGUGAUCUAGCCAUGGGCAGGUUGAAGGUUGGGUAACACUAACUGGAGGACCGAACCGACUAAUGUUGAAAAAUUAGCGGAUGACUUGUGGCUGGGGGUGAAAGGCCAAUCAAACCGGGAGAUAGCUGGUUCUCCCCGAAAGCUAUUUAGGUAGCGCCUCGUGAAUUCAUCUCCGGGGGUAGAGCACUGUUUCGGCAAGGGGGUCAUCCCGACUUACCAACCCGAUGCAAACUGCGAAUACCGGAGAAUGUUAUCACGGGAGACACACGGCGGGUGCUAACGUCCGUCGUGAAGAGGGAAACAACCCAGACCGCCAGCUAAGGUCCCAAAGUCAUGGUUAAGUGGGAAACGAUGUGGGAAGGCCCAGACAGCCAGGAUGUUGGCUUAGAAGCAGCCAUCAUUUAAAGAAAGCGUAAUAGCUCACUGGUCGAGUCGGCCUGCGCGGAAGAUGUAACGGGGCUAAACCAUGCACCGAAGCUGCGGCAGCGAC